AGACGUUGCUCCCUCGUCGUGGUAGAUGCCACCGACGUAGCGCUCUCCACACAACACCAUAAACCUAGCGGCUCGGAGUUCUCCGCUCCUCCGUGGCCUCCAUGAAAAAUCCGGGCACCAAACCCUAGCACGUCGCCGCUUCCACAGCCCCGCCACACCUCGACCCUCAUGCUGCUCGUCUCCAACCAUGGCGAGCCACGGCUCGUGCCGUCCGUUGAAUCCUCUCGUGGGGUCUACAAAUGAAGCUCUCCCAACAAGAGACUGCACACUGCGCGGCUCUUACUGCAAUACGAGAUACUGUACUACUGUGGAUGGUCGAGAAGCGAGCAGAGCUUGACGGUCGUUCGCCGUUGGAACGUUCGUGUGGGCGACACUGAUGGCAUGAUGCAUCUGUCAGCAAGAUCUCUAGUUUUUUCACGCUGUUGAAUCGACAGGUAUAGCAGACAAAUACAGAAAAAGGGCUGGCCUGGUUAAAAAACGGUUCAGGUUAGCAAGCAGUCUGGCCCGGUUCACAAUCGAAAAAGGGCCCGUAUCGAGAAGUUAGCUUCACGUUUGAGAGAAGGUGUAUGCUCUGCUUCCAAUCCAGUUAUUAGCUGCAGCUUCUCCUUGUGUCGUGUGUGGAAUGUUUGCUUCAGUACAUUAACUUUCUUUCUUCU
This is a long non-coding RNA of Zea mays, 656 nucleotides long. RefSeq lists it as uncharacterized. NCBI's taxonomy places the organism in Eukaryota, Viridiplantae, Streptophyta, Magnoliopsida, Poales, Poaceae. The transcript has 2 exons. The record is from RefSeq and is a predicted model, not a curated record.